CAGAGUCUAAAAAAACAAUGUCCUCAGGAAUACUUCAGAAAUAGAAGGUAUGCAAUCCCUUAGUGGGGGGCAAACACAUUUCAGAUUUCGUCUUUAUUUAAAAGGAUCUUCAGUCUACAACAUUUGCUUUUUUCGUGCUUUGGAAAAUAUCCUUGUGCAGAUAAGUUCUUCUGUUUGAAACAAGCAUGAAACAUUGGUCCAAUAACCUAAGAAUGUGGAGAUUUCUUGAUAUUCUGUAUUAAUUAAAGUUCUCUACAUGUCUCAAAUGGAGAUCACAAAACAUGAAAAGGAAGAAAUGAAAUAUCUUUUCUUCUGGGAUGAGUGUCAAUUUUAAUGUAUAAUUGUCAUAAUCAAUCAGCCAAAAGUUACAAUCUGUCCCUCAGAGACAUUGGGGGAAGCUGAUGGAUUUCCAGUAAGGAACUGUGGUGGGUUCAAACUCAGGCUGCCACAAAUACAUUGAUAUGGUAGGUAGGAAGUAGGACUAAAUUUGAAAGAAACUUAUGGGAUAAAGUUCACAAUUUUAAAAAGGUUGCCCUCCAGUUUUUUUGUUUGUUUAUAAACUAGAGUGAUUUUUAAGUAACCCUUAUAUUUAAGGCUGCAAAAAAUGUACAAGAGUAUGUUUUCAAGUAAAGGGAACAUAAUUCUUCAAAAAGCUGUUGAACUGGAGUUAUGAUAGGUUAUGACAGAGAGCAUGAUCAGUGCUGAUACUGACAAGUACUUUUUUACCUUAAAAUCAACUUCUAUGGAACUACAAGAUCAAUCUAGCUCCCGAGUGACAUUUUCCAUUGUCUGUAAUAAUGCCCUCGGAUGAGUUGUGUCUAAAAUUAAGUUCAUCUUUAUUUAUAUGCGAACUUAACUGCCAUAGUCCCUAAUGUAUUGCGUUUGUAACCUGAUCGUAUUAUGUUUACAGCUGAAAGAUUUCAUCUAGACAUGUCUUUCGUCCUUAUUAUUCAAAGUGUAAUUGAAAGAGAUAUUUAGUAUUAAGACAUGUUCCCCAAUUGAGAAUUUUCCAGAAUAUUCUACUUAAGAAGAAGAAGAGCAAUUAACUGCCUUUAGUGUAAGGGCGAGAGUGCAUAGAAAUAUGCAAUGUAAAAUGUUUGCAUGAAUUAUUUCACAUCAUGUAAGCUUUCCCAUAUUCAUAAGAUGAACACUAUAGAAGUCUCAUUUCUCUGUGAUCUUCUGUCCAUUAGGAAAGUAAGGAGAUUGUUAUCUAUAUCUAGUCUCCUUUCCAUAUUGAACUGCAUGGCUCUAAUCCUCAGUGUAUUUUUAUCCCUUCUCGAGUUAUUUAAAAUUUGCCCUAUUUAAGCUGAAGCCUGGAUAAACUGCUGAGCCAGAUUAUUCCUGUGAUUGGAGUUUAAUUGCUGUAGAACACUUGUUGAGAACACAUUUUUUACUUUUUUUCUUUCAGAAUUAUUCCUCAAUCAUUGUUCUCUAAUGAAAACACCGAGAAGUAAAUCUGGUGCUUCUUAGUGUAAAUAUGUUUUUCUUUUUAAAAAGUCAUUUUAAAACAAAGAUGAGAGAACUAUAAAGUAAGGGGAAAUAUCAUUUUAUUUAAAAAUAAUUAUUCAAUGAUAGAUAAUGGAGAUACAGAAUGACUCAUUGGGUUCAUAGGUAUGAUUUGUGCAGCCAGUCUUAGAGGAAAUACAUCAUUUUAACAUUAUUCCCACAAAAUGUUAAAGCUCAAUGGUUUGACUAUGAGAGUCAAACAAUUACUAUUUGAAAAUCUCUUAUGACAUUUUUAUAAUCUACUCUGUUUUUAUUUGCAUGAUUAUGCUUAUGUGAUGAACCAUCCAUGAUUCUGAUAUUGUAUUUCUUUCCAGUAUUAACAUGUGUAUUGUGUGGCCAACUCUGAUUUGUACACCGUAUUAUUGUUGUAAUGAUUCAACUGUUCCUACAUUUAAUUGCAGUUUAAUUAUUAUGCCUUUUGGGGUUAAAUGAUGUGAAGUGUUUCCACCUACUGAUAAAUACCAUAUGAAAACACGACUAAAAGACUGAUUUAAGAAACUUGUUAUUUUUAAAAAUAUGAAUUUCAAAAGAAAUGUUCUCAAAGACACAUGCAUUUAUUUUAAAUUCAAAAAAUUCUUAUGAAUUUAUUAUUGCUUGUACUUUAACUUUUUUUAUUGUAGACAAUCCUAAGUGAAUAAUGUCUCAUGGGAGAACACAUGAUAUGUGCUUGUAUUUGUGUAAUCUGAUCAUGCACUCAAUGGUUGGAAAAGGCACUCCAGUGCUAAGAAAAUAACCAGAAGCCAAUAUAUCGAUUCUUAUAUCUCGGUUUAUGUUACCAACUGAAUAUGGUGUAAUGCAUAACUUUUUCCAGUAAAUAAACUGGUUAUUUUUUGUUCAUUUCA
This 2348-nucleotide long non-coding RNA is filed under the name Homo sapiens (human). Its description in RNAcentral is "non-protein coding lnc-BICD1-1:1". The record is from RNAcentral. Lineage: Eukaryota; Metazoa; Chordata; Mammalia; Primates; Hominidae.